UCUCCUGUAGCUCAGUGGUAGAGCGUCCGACCAUGGUGCGGAAGGUCAUAGGUUCAACUCCUGUUGGGGGAA
RNAcentral lists this transfer RNA (72 nucleotides) under Desmophyllum pertusum. Its description in RNAcentral is "Lophelia pertusa tRNA". It matches the Rfam family "tRNA". Rfam says of the family: Transfer RNA (tRNA) molecules are approximately 80 nucleotides in length. Their secondary structure includes four short double-helical elements and three loops (D, anti-codon, and T loops). Lineage: Eukaryota; Metazoa; Cnidaria; Anthozoa; Scleractinia; Caryophylliidae. The record is from Rfam by way of RNAcentral.